GUCUCUGGCCAGACCACGCUAAAGGCGCCGGGUCUUCUCUGAUCUUGGAAGCUAAGCAGUGUUCGGCCUGGUUAGUACUUGGCGUGGAAACCCCCCUGGGAAAACCGGGUGCUGUCGGAU
Cebus imitator (Panamanian white-faced capuchin) is the source of this 120-nucleotide ribosomal RNA. The record is from Ensembl. Lineage: Eukaryota; Metazoa; Chordata; Mammalia; Primates; Cebidae.